GUGAGUCAGGAGGGAAACUGAGGUCGUCAGGGUGCAGGAGGGGGGUGAGGGGGGAGGGUCCUUUUACGAGCACAAGUCUCUGCACAGUCUUGCUUACCUCCACUCCGGCUGCCUGGCAGAUAAAUGACGAAAUAUACGGUAAGCGGUCUAAUAUAUGUUCGCCUGUCUCCCAGAGUAAUACAACAGCCCUGCUCUGCCUCCUUAAUGUGUGGUCCCUGUCAACCCAAGAAACAGCAGAGAGUAGGAGGAGGAGAAGGAAAAACUCACAGCUGCAGCCAGCACGAGACCUAUGGGACUCUAGUCUGAGCACUGCAGGGUACGCAGGACAGCUAAACAUAUGACAGGAAGUGAACUUUGUUAGUACCUGACUAACAAAGCAAACACGGUGGCCGUGUGAGACCCGCACUCAGAGAGGAGAAUCAGAGAGUCGUCAUCAGAUGAUUAGUGGAAACCAUCGCAGACUAUUAUUCUGACUGGAAUCAUCUAAUGUUCUGCUUCAGGAAUACAUUCCAGUGGAAGUGGACCUCAGAAAUCAGAGGUUAGCUCUGCUUUAAACAAUGCCAGUGGUAAUGACUGAUCUAAUCACAGGGCACGCUCCAGGAACCCACCUGUUUUGUCGGCUCUGCUCUCACACAUUAAACUUGGCGCUGCCAGGAUCUCACAGUCUGGGAGGGUGGCACAUGUUGGGGUGGCUGUAAUGUGUUACACACAGCCCCAUAUAGUCUCAGCCCUCUGGGUCUGAUUCUGUUCUUUUAUCCAAUGCCAAGAAAAGUUGAACUUGGCUUGGACAAAUCUGCUCAAUGGAGUGCUGCACCUGAAAGCUUUUACCGGGGCUAAGAGGGUCCAGAUAAGACACAACUUUCUCUUUAUCUCCAAGUCUCCACGGCUGGCCUUUUUUUUUUCAGUGACUCCAGUUUACAGUAAACUUGUCCUGCAGAUCAGGCAGCCAGCCAGCAGAUGUGACAGGACUGCAGGGCUAACACAGGAUGUCACUAGUGAAGGGUUGAACCAGCUAUGAGUCCAGCUGACAAAAAAACACAGGCCACAAUAAUACUGAAUCAUUCUCAGGACUUCAAGUGUUCCAAGUGUUGGGCCGUUCUUCAGUUAAUACUGAGGAACAUUUUAUUCUGAAGCCCAUCAGAUAUUAAUCCCACAUUUCCUCAAAUAAUCAAGCCAAAGUUUUUCAAGGUGCAAUGGUUUCCUCCCAGUCUAAAACACACAUCAGAGGUUGUGUUAUCCGGAUACUCUUAAACGAAUAAUGGUCCUAUGAUUGACUGGUGACCUUUAGAGAAUGUACUCUGCCAUAAUAAGCUAGGGCAAUGUUGUUCAACCUUGGGGUCGCUAGCCCGUUUUAAAAUCAACAUUUGUAUUUGUGUCCUGUUGGAUCCAGUUAAUAUAUGACUUUGUCUGAAGGACCUGGAGAGAAUAAAACUACAGUGGAACUGGCCACAUAAGGUCAAUGGCCUUGGUUAGAGUUUAACCCAGGUCGACACACGCAAAAUUAUUAAGUUUGAUAUGAAGAUUAACAGAACUGGGAAAGACGAUUUCUUCAGAGCAGUUCGUUCGGUGUGGAGCCAAGCUAGUCUUCACCAACAGCAAAACAAAACAUAAAAAAAAAAAAACACACCAAAUAUGUAGUGAAUGAUGCACCAACAUAGUGGAUUACGGAAUUCCAGAAACAGAACCAAGACAAAGACCUGGUGCGUGGUCUCCUUCUCCACAGACUGUGGACCGUCAAGUCCGUUUUCUGUUCUCUCUUCUCAUUUCUCAGACACAUCUUUGACUUUAUCUGCCAGUCCACGCUGACCUCAGAAACCAUGUUGUUUUAUAUCACAUUCUUGAUUACAUCUGUCUGUCUUCCAAAGGCAUUCUAAAUAUAGUCCUCCUCUUAACCCCCCCAGAAGAGCAGAACACUAAGUCCCUACUAAUUAGAGCCUUCUCCUCAGUCUGGGGUUGCCUCCAGUGAGAGCAGGUUUAUGGGCUGUACUGCUCAGUCUGUUUUGUUGUUGCUCAUACGUCUGAACAUUUACCAAUGGCCCUGGGUAGUGAGACGCACAAAUGUCUCUGGUCCAAAGUGCCACAGGUUUAAUUAUUAUUAUUAUUAUUAUUACUACUAUUAUUAUGUCUCUCUGUCUCUAUAGUGAUAAACGCGACCUUGAAGGUUUUUUUUAUUUCACAUGUGAAUUGGUUGAAUUACACCGGUAUCACUUUGACAGUCACACCCGUGCUCUAGUCUUAAACUGAUCCAUGAGUGGCUGGAGAACACUGCAUGAAUAAUUUACAGUCAUCUUCUCAGUGUCAGUCCUGUAGCCUUCGUCACUCAGGACACUGGUGUGGACUCAGGACAAGACAGAGCCUUUGGUACUGCAGGAAAACCUGAAGAUGAACCCCAGUUUUUGUGCUCUCCUCUGUUGGCUGGUUCUCCCUCUCAAAGGUCUGCUGAUACCUGAGUCUGAGGAGGUGGAAUAUGUCCGCUCCCAUGUUACAGCAACAGCAGGAAGCUCGGUCACCUUCGACUGCGGCCCCAUCAUGCCUCACACCUUCAUCUGGGGAUUCACCAAACCACUGACUGAUAAUAUUGUAGCUUUGGCCUAUAACUAUGGACACGGUGUAAAGCUCCAAGUGCAGUCCAACAAUGUGGGUAACAUCCAGGUUCCUGUCAGCACCUCUAAGUUAGUCAUUGAGAAUCUUCAGAAAAGCGCAGUGGGCACGUACACCUGUCAGGCGAUGUACGACACCGACGACGGCCCCAAAGUCAUUUUCUAUUACACACGUUUGGAUGUGGAGGAGACUGAGGACUGACAUAUGAGGCAUCAAAUACAAACACAUUAGGUCUGUAAGUGAUGCCACAGAAACAUCAAACUCUUAGCUGCCCUCUGUUCGUAUUUUCUUU
Long non-coding RNA from Cynoglossus semilaevis (tongue sole), 2893 nucleotides. RefSeq lists it as uncharacterized. The record is from RefSeq and is a predicted model, not a curated record. NCBI's taxonomy places the organism in Eukaryota, Metazoa, Chordata, Actinopteri, Pleuronectiformes, Cynoglossidae. The transcript has 3 exons.